CAUUGCGGCCGUGCUUACACAUGCAAGUCGACGAUGAACCGCUUUCGGGCGGGGAUUAGUGGCGAACGGGUGAGUAACACGUGGGCAAUCUGCCCUGCACUCUGGGACAAGCCCUGGAAACGGGGUCUAAUACCGGAUAUGACUGUCCGCCGCAUGGUGGAUGGUGUAA
This 169-nucleotide ribosomal RNA is filed under the name Streptomyces sp. RNAcentral describes it as "partial 16S ribosomal RNA". It matches the Rfam family "Bacterial small subunit ribosomal RNA", at positions 37 to 205 of the family's 1533-position model. Lineage: Bacteria; Bacillati; Actinomycetota; Actinomycetes; Kitasatosporales; Streptomycetaceae. The record is from RNAcentral.